RNAcentral lists this transfer RNA (74 nucleotides) under Talaromyces pinophilus. RNAcentral describes it as "tRNA-Ile (AAT) (tRNA-Ile-AAT-1-1)". It matches the Rfam family "tRNA". Rfam says of the family: Transfer RNA (tRNA) molecules are approximately 80 nucleotides in length. Their secondary structure includes four short double-helical elements and three loops (D, anti-codon, and T loops). Further hydrogen bonds mediate the characteristic L-shaped molecular structure. tRNAs have two regions of fundamental functional importance: the anti-codon, which is responsible for specific mRNA codon recognition, and the 3' end, to which the tRNAs corresponding amino acid is attached (by aminoacyl-tRNA synthetases). tRNAs cope with the degeneracy of the genetic code in two manners: having more than one tRNA (with a specific anti-codon) for a particular amino acid; and 'wobble' base-pairing, i.e. permitting non-standard base-pairing at the 3rd anti-codon position. The record is from RNAcentral. RNAcentral also lists the same sequence under 2 other names. Lineage: Eukaryota; Fungi; Ascomycota; Eurotiomycetes; Eurotiales; Trichocomaceae.
GGUCGCUUAGAUCAGUUGGUUAGAUCGUGGUGCUAAUAACGCCAAGGUCAAGGGUUCGACCCCCUUAGUGACCA